UAUUAAGCAUUGCCCUGGCCUAAGGCACCACAUGGGUCAUUUCUUCCAGGCUCCAACUUGCUUCUGCUUUGCCAUAUGGUAACACGCCAUAUUAUGGAAGAACCAUCAUUACUGCCAUCUGCAGGGGAAGCCUAAAGAGGUGAUUUGAUAGUGUGGUUUCGGAUUACAGCCUGGCUUCCUGGGGUGAUCCAUCACAAGAAUAAAGAGUAUUGAUAAGGCCAAUGGGUGCACUUCCAGAUAAAUGCCAGCCAACAUCCCUGUCUCUGGGGCCCUGGAGAGGCCUUCAACACACCUGGCCUCACUGCCCUGUGGCUUCAACAAAGAGGCUGAGCAUCUCCUAGAAACCUUGAGGUCCAUGGAUGACAUAGCGGAAUGAUGGAUUUCAGAAAAGGCAGGUGCUUCCCACUCUUUAAAUUUUUGUUUAUUCUUUCCAAGUUUCCCAUCAACAGCCCUGCAGUAAAAAUUCAGGGCUUCAGAGACAAACAUUUCAUGAGUACAGACUGUGAUGAGGAAAAGAAGCCAUUCCCUCUCUAUCAGGAUCCAGAGCACACUGCUGUUACGACUCCGGAACCGAUAAGGAAGCUAUGUGUGGAAGUAUGAGCCCGGGUCGCUUUCUGACCCUCUGUGACGGUCUAUUUCAGGCAGUUAUGGAUAGAUAACAUUACAGACACUGGUAAUUAAAACGACACUAAUUUUGU
This is a long non-coding RNA of Gorilla gorilla gorilla (western lowland gorilla), 698 nucleotides long. RefSeq lists it as uncharacterized. The record is from RefSeq and is a predicted model, not a curated record. The transcript is spliced from 4 exons. NCBI's taxonomy places the organism in Eukaryota, Metazoa, Chordata, Mammalia, Primates, Hominidae.